Molecule: long non-coding RNA, 1808 nt
Filed under: Marmota monax (woodchuck)
Lineage: Eukaryota; Metazoa; Chordata; Mammalia; Rodentia; Sciuridae
Source: RNAcentral
UCUGUCUCUCUCUUGCGUGCACUUCCUCUCUCUCUCUCUCUCUCUCUCUCUCUCUCUCUCUCUCUCUCUCUUUUUCUCCUCUGUUGCACUGCUGCAAUAAAGAUCUUUUGGUUGCUCUGAGUGUUGUGGUCACUUUCCUUUCAGGAACCUCUAUGGUCUUUGCUCCCUGGCUUCUGCAAGGAAAUCCAUGCACCAGUCCACUUAUCAGAGGGAUUCUGGGCAGGCCAGCUGGCGGAUCCAUGGACAGGCACACUGCUUGGAGUCCUGAGGUCACUGGGUGGGUGGACCUGGAGGCUGGGUCCUCUGGGGUGGACCUGGAGAUUCGUUCCACUGGAGUAGGCCUGUUGACUGGGUCUGCAGUGGGGAGCGGUACCUGGAAACUGUCUGUGGGGCUGGCCUGAUUCCUAGGUCCAUGGAUCCAAACUUUCCCUGGGGUGAGCUUUGAGCCUGAGUCCACAGGGCAUGGCCUGGCACUGGGUGGGCCUUGGGCUUGGUUCCACAGGCAUGAGCCUGGUCCUGAGUCCACAGGGGCCACCCUGAUGCCAGGGUUCACUCAGGUAGGCCUGGGGUCAGAGAAGCUAAAUUAGUGGAGGUCAGCCUGGUACUGGGGCUGCAAGAGCCGGCCUGGCAGGGAUGACCUGGUGUCUGAGUCUCCUGGGUCCUGAGUCUACAUGGGCCAGCCUGGAUCCUGGGCCUUGACCCUGGAUCCACUAUGGGGAUUCUUAAUGUCGACUGCUGCACAGCACUAGAGAACUAAUGGUCAUCAGCCAAUAUCCUUCCCCACUUCCAACCAACCAAGGGUUCAGUGGCCCGAGCACACCGUGUUGUGCAUCACACCCCCACCGAGUUCGUGAUACUGUUGGCACAUGCCUGGAUGUACCUGAGUUGCACCAGGUAAAGCCCAUUCAACGUCCACUGUCAGCGUUGGCUCUGACCACCCCCCCCCACGUUGGCCUAACCAGUCGGCACAACUGCACUUCCCUCAGGUAGAUAGUCUGUUGAGCUGAACUUUCCAUUUCUUGCUCGUUUGUCUAAAAAGCCUUUAUAUUGCCUUUGUUUUUGAAAAUCAUUCUUUCCUCCGUGUAAACUUCUGGGUUGACACUUGGAGGAUGCAGUCCUGUUGUCUUCCAGAGGCCAUGGCUGCAGCGGAGCGUCCCUGUGGACUGGUUUCAGUCGGGGUGACCUUUUGCUCUCUGGCUGCUCUCAGAACUGUCUUCAGUGCCCUGCGGCUUCACUAGGACGGCUCAGGAUCUGCAUUUCUAUUUGCCCUUCCUGGCAUUCUUGAAUCUCUGCACUCUGCACUCCGUCACUCUUCCUGGAGGACAGCCAGCCAGUGUCCUUGGAUGCCAGCUCUUCCACUCUGCCUCCGCCUGGAGUCUGUGGGAGCUCCACGCCCUCCUCCUCGCACCCCCUUGAUCUCUGCAGAGUCAGGGGUUUCAUCAGUACCAUUUUCCAGUUCAGUAAUUUGGUUGGGGAGGGGGAGUACUGGGGAUGGAACCCAGGGGUGCUUCACCACUGAGCCACAUCCCCAGCCCUUUUUGAGACAGGCUCUUGCUAAGUUGCUGAUGGUCUCACUAAAUUGCUGAGACUGUCCUCAAACUUGCAAUCCUCCUGCCUCAGCCUCCCAAGCCACUGAGUUACAGGCGUGCGUUACCAUGCCGGCCAGGUCAAUAAAUCUUUCUUUGGUUGUUUCUAACCUGAGAUUAAGCCCGUACACUGAGAUGUAAACGUCCGUGGUGUAGAAGAGCUGUCUGGGAAGGAAAAUGGCCCUGAGAGUUCACUGUGAGUGGCCUGGACAGAGGCUGGCU